Molecule: long non-coding RNA, 434 nt
Organism: Chiroxiphia lanceolata (lance-tailed manakin)
Lineage: Eukaryota; Metazoa; Chordata; Aves; Passeriformes; Pipridae
Exons: 3
Source: RefSeq, a predicted model, not a curated record
GGUGAUGGUGCAAAGGACAGGUGAUGGUGCCAGGGACAGGUGAGGAGGAGGUGAUGGUGCAAAGGACAAGGUGAUGGUGCCAGGGACAGGGGAUGGUGCCAGGGACAGGUAAUGGUGCAAAGGACAGGGGAUGGUGCAAAGGACAGGGGAUGGUGCAAAGGACAGGUGAUGGUGCCAGGGACAGGUGAUGGUGCCAGGGACAGAUGAUGGUGCAAAGGACAGGUGAUAGUGCCAGAGACAGGUGAGGGACAGGUGAUGGUGCAAAGGACAGGGGAUGGUGCCAGGGACAAGUGAUGGUGCAAAGGACAGGUGAUGGUGCCAGGGACAGGUGAUGGUGCAAAGGACAGGGGAUGGUGCAAAGGACAGGUGAUGGUGCCAGAGACAGGUGAUGGUGCAAAGGACAGGUGAUGGUGUAAAGGAGAGGUGAUAGUGCA